RNAcentral lists this ribosomal RNA (468 nucleotides) under uncultured bacterium. RNAcentral describes it as "partial 16S ribosomal RNA". It matches the Rfam family "Bacterial small subunit ribosomal RNA", at positions 28 to 507 of the family's 1533-position model. The record is from RNAcentral.
GACGAACGCUGGCGGCGUGCUUAACACAUGCAAGUCGAACGGAACGGCCCUGCUUUUGUGGGGUGCUCGAGUGGCGAACGGGUGAGUAACACGUGUGUAAACUGUCCUUGACUUUGGGAUAACUUCAGGAAAAUGGGGCUAAUACCGGAUAGGAGCCCCUGCUGCAUGGUGGGGGUGGGAGAGAUUCGGCGGUUGGGGAUGGGAUCGCGGCUUAUCCGCUUGUCGGUGGGGUAGUGGCUUACCACGGCUUUGACGGGUAGCCGGGCCGAGAGGGUGAGCUGCCAGGUUGGGACUGAGAUGAGGCCCAGCCUCGUACGGGACGGGACAGAGGGGAAUAGUGCACUGUGGGCGGAAGCCUGACGCAACGACGCCACGUGGGGGAUGACGGCCAGCGGGUUGUAUACCGCUUUCGCCUGUUACGAGGCGAGAAUGACGGUACUGGGUAAGGAAGCACCGGCUAACUACGUG